Molecule: ribosomal RNA, 145 nt
Filed under: Mola mola (ocean sunfish)
Lineage: Eukaryota; Metazoa; Chordata; Actinopteri; Tetraodontiformes; Molidae
Description: 5.8S ribosomal RNA (ENSMMOG00000011641.1)
Rfam family: 5.8S ribosomal RNA
About the family: 5.8S ribosomal RNA (5.8S rRNA) is a component of the large subunit of the eukaryotic ribosome. It is transcribed by RNA polymerase I as part of the 45S precursor that also contains 18S and 28S rRNA.
Source: Rfam by way of RNAcentral
UACUCUUAGCUGCGGAUUACUUGGCUUGGGUGUCGAUGAGAAACACAGUUAUCUGUGAGAACUAAUUCGAAUUGCCAGACAAAUUGAUCAUCAAAGCUGUUCUGUGAAGAGAGCGACACCUGACACAGCUCAUGUCUGUGUGGUU